GACUUAAGCAUAUCAAUAAGCGGAGGAAAAGAAACCAACAGGGAUUGCCUUAGUAACGGCGAGUGAAGCGGCAACAGCUCAAAUUUGAAAGCUGGCUCCUUUGGAGUCCGCGUUGUAAUUUGUAGAGGAUGAUUCGGCAAGGGCUCCCGCCUAAGUCUCCUGGAACGGAGCGUCAUAGAGGGUGAGAAUCCCGUAUGCGGUGGGCUGCCUAAGCCAUGUGAAUCUCCUUCGACGAGUCGAGUUGUUUGGGAAUGCAGCUCUAAAUGGGAGGUAAAUUUCUUCUAAAGCUAAAUACCGGCCAGAGACCGAUAGCGCACAAGUAGAGUGAUCGAAAGAUGAAAAGCACUUUGGAAAGAGAGUUAAAAAGUACGUGAAAUUGUUGAAAGGGAAGCGCUUGCAGCCAGACUUGUCCGCAGUUGCUCAGCCGGUCUCCUGACCGGUGUACUCUUCUGCGGCCAGGCCAGCAUCAGUUCGGGCGGUCGGAUAAAGACCUCGGGAAUGUAGCUCCUCUCGGGGAGUGUUAUAGCCCGGGGUGGAAUGCGGCCAGCCUGGACUGAGGAUCUCGCUUCGGCUAGGAUGCUGGCGUAAUGGCUGUAAGCGGCCCGUCUUGAAACACGGACCAAGGAGUCUAACAUCUAUGCGAGUGUUUGGGUGUCAAACCCAUGCGCGUAAUGAAAGUGAACGGAGGUGGGAACCCUCACGGGUGCACCAUCGACCGAUCCUGAUGUCUUCGGAUGGAUUUGAGUAAGAGCAUAGCUGUUGGGACCCGAAAGAUGGUGAACUAUGCCUGAAUAGGGUGAAGCCAGAGGAAACUCUGGUGGAGGCUCGCAGCGGUUCUGACGUGCAAAUCGAUCGUCAAAUUUGGGUAUAGGGGCGAAAGACUAAUCGAA
RNAcentral lists this ribosomal RNA (890 nucleotides) under Botryosphaeria dothidea. RNAcentral describes it as "partial large subunit ribosomal RNA". It matches the Rfam family "Eukaryotic large subunit ribosomal RNA", at positions 31 to 939 of the family's 3401-position model. The record is from RNAcentral. Lineage: Eukaryota; Fungi; Ascomycota; Dothideomycetes; Botryosphaeriales; Botryosphaeriaceae.